UAUUAUUAUUAAGGUAAAAAGUUAUGCUUAGGUAGUAGUAGAUUAAAUCUUGAAACUUAAAGAAUUUGGCGGUAUCUUAGUCUUUUCAGAGGAAUCUGUUCCGUUAUUGAUAAUACACGAUUAGUUARACUUAAUUUUGUGAUCAGUUUGUAUACCGUCGUCAUAAGAAUAUUUUGUAAAGAAGUUAAAUUUUCUUUUCUUUUGAUUGAAAGAUAUGUCAGAUCAAGGUGCAGCUAAUAAUUAAGUGGUAAUGGAUUACAAUAAYUUUAGUUAUGGAGGAUAAUAAUUUAAAUUAUUUAUUUGAAAAUGGAUUUGAUUGUAAGUUUAAAUUAAUUUUAUUCUGAUUUUGGCUCUAGGAUGUGUACAUAUCGCCCGUCGCUCUCAUUUAAUAUGAG
This 395-nucleotide ribosomal RNA is filed under the name Nisitrus insignis. RNAcentral describes it as "partial 12S ribosomal RNA". The record is from RNAcentral. Lineage: Eukaryota; Metazoa; Arthropoda; Insecta; Orthoptera; Gryllidae.